GAUGAACGCUGGCGGCGUGCCUAAUACAUGCAAGUCGAGCGAACGGACGAGAAGCUUGCUUCUCUGAUGUUAGCGGCGGACGGGUGAGUAACACGUGGAUAACCUACCUAUAAGACUGGGAUAACUUCGGGAAACCGGAGCUAAUACCGGAUAAUAUUUUGAACCGCAUGGUUCAAAAGUGAAAGACGGUCUUGCUGUCACUUAUAGAUGGAUCCGCGCUGCAUUAGCUAGUUGGUAAGGUAACGGCUUACCAAGGCAACGAUGCAUAGCCGACCUGAGAGGGUGAUCGGCCACACUGGAGCUGAGACACGGUCCAGACUCCUACGGGAGGCAGCAGUAGGGAAUCGUCCGCAAUGGGCGAAAGCCUGACGGAGCAACGCCGCGUGAGUGAUGAAGGUCUUCGGAUCGUAAAACUCUGUUAUUAGGGAAGAACAUAUGUGUAAGUAACUGUGCACAUCUUGACGGUACCUAAUCAGAAAGCCACGGCUAACUACGUG
Molecule: ribosomal RNA, 497 nt
Filed under: uncultured bacterium
Lineage: Bacteria
Description: partial 16S ribosomal RNA
Rfam family: Bacterial small subunit ribosomal RNA
Source: RNAcentral